AGUGAACGCUGGCGGUAGGCCUAACACAUGCAAGUCGAACGGCAGCACAGUAAGAGCUUGCUCUUACGGGUGGCGAGUGGCGGACGGGUGAGGAAUACAUCGGAAUCUACUUUUUCGUGGGGGAUAACGUAGGGAAACUUACGCUAAUACCGCAUACGACCUACGGGUGAAAGCAGGGGAUCUUCGGACCUUGCGCGAUUGAAUGAGCCGAUGUCGGAUUAGCUAGUUGGCGGGGUAAAGGCCCACCAAGGCGACGAUCCGUAGCUGGUCUGAGAGGAUGGACGGGAACAGUGAAAAUGAGACACGGGCCGGAGUCCAACGGGAGGCGGCAGAGGGGAUUCUUGCGCAAUGGCCGAAAGCCUGACGGAGCAGCGCCGCAUGAGUGAUGAAGGUUUUCGGAUCGUAAAACUCUGUUGUUAGGGAAGAACAAAUGUACACGUAACUCUGCCGGGAAUGACGGUACCUAAUGAGAAAGACGCUGCUAACUACGAG
This 492-nucleotide ribosomal RNA is filed under the name uncultured bacterium. Its description in RNAcentral is "partial 16S ribosomal RNA". It matches the Rfam family "Bacterial small subunit ribosomal RNA", at positions 29 to 507 of the family's 1533-position model. The record is from RNAcentral.